Leptonychotes weddellii (Weddell seal) is the source of this 140-nucleotide small nuclear RNA. RefSeq annotates it as U4 spliceosomal RNA. Lineage: Eukaryota; Metazoa; Chordata; Mammalia; Carnivora; Phocidae. The record is from RefSeq and is a predicted model, not a curated record.
UGCUUUGCAGAGUGGCAGUAUUGUAGCCAAUGAGGUUUAUCUGAGGCGCAAUUAUUGCUAAUUGUAAUGUCCAUACCUAAUGAAAGUAUUAAUUAGUAGAUCAAUUUUGCAUUCUAAUUUUCAACUCUUUAUUCACCAAG